CAAGUGCACGAAAUCGCUCAAGUAAUAUAAUGAUAAAUAAGAGAUCGUUUCCACGAGGACUGAGUUUAAUUAUCAAAAAUGAAUGCUAAUUUUACUAAUAUCUAAACGAUCGAAACUGAAUGACAGUGAAAAAUAAAAUUAACUCUAAAGAACUCAAUGAAAGCUGAAUCAAAAUUCGAUUGAUAAAGCACUAGGGUAUAUCUGAUUUCACUUGGACCAAUUAUCAAUUCUAGCUAUUUCGAUUAAUAAUCCAAAUUUAAUUAUUAAUGCAAGGAUAAAUAAUCCUAAAUUAUUUAAUAAUCUCUCCCGAGUCUUAUUAAAUAUACUAAUUAAAACCUAUAAUCUAUCUUCCAAUAGUAAAAUAGAUUUUAAUUAGUUCAAUAAGCACAGUGAUUAUUUCCAAGAUCCCACAGGUCAAAUCUUCUGCUCCCGCUCCAAUUAUUAUUC
RNAcentral lists this long non-coding RNA (447 nucleotides) under Elaeis guineensis (African oil palm). RNAcentral describes it as "long non-coding RNA (EGUI_LNC073606)". Lineage: Eukaryota; Viridiplantae; Streptophyta; Magnoliopsida; Arecales; Arecaceae. The record is from RNAcentral.